GAUGAACGCUGGCGGCGUGCCUAAUACAUGCAAGUCGAGCGAACAGACGAGGAGCUUGCUCCUUCGACGUUAGCGGCGGACGGGUGAGUAACACGUAGGUAACCUACCUAUAAGACUGGGAUAACUUCGGGAAACCGGAGCUAAUGCCGGAUAAUAUUUCGAACCGCAUGGUUCGAUAGUGAAAGAUGGCUUUGCUAUCACUUAUAGAUGGACCUGCGCCGUAUUAGCUAGUUGGUAAGGUAACGGCUUACCAAGGCAACGAUACGUAGCCGACCUGAGAGGGUGAUCGGCCACACUGGAACUGAGACACGGUCCAGACUCCUACGGGAGGCAGCAGUAGGGAAUCUUCCGCAAUGGGCGAAAGCCUGACGGAGCAACGCCGCGUGAGUGAUGAAGGUCUUCGGAUCGUAAAACUCUGUUAUUAGGGAAGAACAAACGUGUAAGUAACUGUGCACGUCUUGACGGUACCUAAUCAGAAAGCCACGGCUAACUACGUG
RNAcentral lists this ribosomal RNA (497 nucleotides) under uncultured bacterium. Its description in RNAcentral is "partial 16S ribosomal RNA". It matches the Rfam family "Bacterial small subunit ribosomal RNA", at positions 28 to 507 of the family's 1533-position model. The record is from RNAcentral.